CCUACGGGUGGCAGCAGUGAGGAAUAUUGGUCAAUGGGCGAGAGCCUGAACCAGCCAAGUCGCGUGAGGGAGUACUGCCCUAUGGGUUGUAAACCUCUUUUGUCGGGGAGCAAAAGCCGGACGUGUCCGGCUGUUAGAUUACCCGUAGAAACAGCAUCGGCUCACCCCGUGCCAGCAGCCGCGGUAAUACGGAGGAUGCGAGCGUUAUCCGGAUUUAUUGGGUUUAAGGGGUGCGCAGGCGGUGUUUUAAGUCAGCGGUCAAAUCGUGGGGCUAAACCCCAUCCAGCCGUUGAAACUGGGGAUCUAGAGUGUGCGAGAGGUAGGCGGAAUGCGUGGUGUAGCGGUGAAAUGCAUAGAUAUCACGCAGAACCCCGAUUGCGAAGGCAGCAUGCCGGUGCACAACUGACGCUCAGGCACGAAAGCGUGGGUAUCGAACAGGAUUAGAUACCCUAGUAGUC
This 458-nucleotide ribosomal RNA is filed under the name uncultured bacterium. RNAcentral's name for it is "partial 16S ribosomal RNA". It matches the Rfam family "Bacterial small subunit ribosomal RNA", at positions 338 to 795 of the family's 1533-position model. The record is from RNAcentral.